UCAGGACGAACGCUGGCGGCGUGCCUAAUACAUGCAAGUCGAACGGUCUUUCUAUGGAAGCUUGCUUCCACUGAGAAGAUAGUGGCGAACGGGUGAGUAACACGUGGGUAACCUGCCCAUAAGAGGGGGGAUAACAUCCGGAAACGGGUGCUAAUACCGCAUAGUUUCUUGAUCGCAUGAUCGGGAAAGGAAAGACGGCCUUUGUGCUGUCGCUUAUGGAUGGACCCGCGGCGUAUUAGUUAGUUGGUGAGGUAAUGGCUCACCAAGACGAUGAUACGUAGCCGACCUGAGAGGGUGAUCGGCCACAUUGGGACUGAGACACGGCCCAAACUCCUACGGGAGGCAGCAGUAGGGAAUCUUCCGCAAUGGACGAAAGUCUGACGGAGCAACGCCGCGUGAGUGAAAGAAGGUUUUCGGAUCGUAAAACUCUGUUGUCAGAGAAGAACAAGUUGGAGAGUAACUGCUCCAGCCUUGACGGUAUCUGACCAGAAAGCCACGGCUAACUACGUGCCAGCCGCCGC
RNAcentral lists this ribosomal RNA (521 nucleotides) under uncultured bacterium. RNAcentral's name for it is "bacterial SSU rRNA". It matches the Rfam family "Bacterial small subunit ribosomal RNA", at positions 24 to 518 of the family's 1533-position model. The record is from RNAcentral.